Molecule: ribosomal RNA, 484 nt
Filed under: uncultured bacterium
Lineage: Bacteria
Description: partial 16S ribosomal RNA
Rfam family: Bacterial small subunit ribosomal RNA
Source: RNAcentral
AGUGAACGCUGGCGGCGUGCUUAACACAUGCAAGUCGAACGAGAACGGGUUAUAGCUUGCUAUAAUUGUCAGCUAAGUGGCGCACGGGUGAGUAAUGUAUAGGUAAUAUGCCUCUUACUAAGGGAUAACAAAUGGAAACGUUUGCUAAUACCUUAUACUCCUUAUUAACCUAAGUUAAUAAGGGAAAGAUUUAUUGGUAAGAGAUUAGCCUGUAUUGUAUCAGUUAGUUUGUGGGGUAAUGGCUUACCAAGACUAUGACACAUAACUGGUUUGAGAGGAUGAUCAGUCACACUGGAACUGAGACACGGUCCAGUCUCCUACGGGAGGCAGAAGUGGGGAAUAUUGCACAAUGGACGAAAGUCUGAUGCAGCAACGCGGCGUGGAGGAUGACACAGUUCGGUGCGUAAACUCCUUUUAUAUGAGAAGAUAAUGACGGUAUUAUAUGAAUAAGCACCGGCUAACUCCGUGCCAGCCGCCGCAGUAA